This 24-nucleotide non-coding RNA is filed under the name Arabidopsis thaliana (thale cress). The record is from RNAcentral. Lineage: Eukaryota; Viridiplantae; Streptophyta; Magnoliopsida; Brassicales; Brassicaceae.
UGUCCUUGUUUCCUUGUUCUGCUU